RNAcentral lists this long non-coding RNA (243 nucleotides) under Capra hircus (goat). RNAcentral's name for it is "lncRNA (ENSCHIG00000000913.1)". Lineage: Eukaryota; Metazoa; Chordata; Mammalia; Artiodactyla; Bovidae. The record is from RNAcentral.
CGCCGCGCUGCUCUUGAAGUCAGUCCGGAGACGGCGUUGCUUUUCGGAUGUUGGAGCUCCUCCAGGCUCCACCGGUGCCCGUUCCCACCCCACCUCCUUGGGACGCCUGCACUUCCUCACCCCGCUGCCAGCUUUUCAGAUGAAUUCAGGAACCCUCCUGCAGCCUCUCCUAACAGUCGUGAGCAACAGUACGAGUGAGCCUUCACGUAGUGACAUCUUGGGGAUGAAUAGUUUCUAAUCACG